This 286-nucleotide long non-coding RNA is filed under the name Capsicum annuum. RNAcentral describes it as "long non-coding RNA (CANN_LNC000004)". The record is from RNAcentral. Lineage: Eukaryota; Viridiplantae; Streptophyta; Magnoliopsida; Solanales; Solanaceae.
AAGAAAUUCAUAGAACUCAUCUGCUAGACGUUUACGCUUUUUAGCUUUUUUUUCUUCUUUCUCCCUGGCCCUUUCCAGUAACUCCUCAAAGACAAACUAUGCAGAUGAAAUAUGCACAUUCAAUACUCAAUGACCCGGCAAGCCCAAAUGCCUAGAACAUAUAGUUUAGAAAGGAAGCAUGGAAUAAGAUUUAGUAUAAUCCAUGUAUGUCCUAUUAUUUCUUCGUUUGGAAGGCACGGGGCAUAUAAUGUAAAAGUAUUAUUACCAUCUUUUGGAGUAAUUCCUC